GUGGUAAUGCCGGAUGUUCCAGUUGAUCGCAUGGUCUUCUGGGAAAGCUUUCGCGGUAUGGGAUGGGGUCGCGUCCUAUCAGCUUGACGGCGGGGUAACGGCCCACCGUGGCUUCGACGGGUAGCCGGCCUGAGAGGGCGACCGGCCACAUUGGGACUGAGAUACGGCCCAGACUCCUACGGGAGGCAGCAGUGGGGAAUAUUGCACAAUGGGCGCAAGCCUGAUGCAGCGACGCCGCGUGAGGGAUGGAGGCCUUCGGGUUGUAAACCUCUUUUAUCGGGGAGCAAGCGAGAGUGAGUUUACCCGUUGAAUAAGCACCGGCUAACUACGUGCCAGCAGCCGCGGUAAUACGUAGGGUGCAAGCGUUAUCCGGAAUUAUUGGGCGUAAAGGGCUCGUAGGCGGUUCGUCGCGUCCGGUGUGAAAGUCCAUCGCUUAACGGUGGAUCCGCGCCGGGUACGGGCGGGCUUGAGUGCGGUAGGGGAGACUGGAAUUCCCGGUGUAACGGUGGAAUGUGUAGAUAU
This 522-nucleotide ribosomal RNA is filed under the name Bifidobacterium longum subsp. infantis. RNAcentral's name for it is "bacterial SSU rRNA". It matches the Rfam family "Bacterial small subunit ribosomal RNA", at positions 160 to 697 of the family's 1533-position model. Lineage: Bacteria; Bacillati; Actinomycetota; Actinomycetes; Bifidobacteriales; Bifidobacteriaceae. The record is from RNAcentral.